This 289-nucleotide ribosomal RNA is filed under the name uncultured bacterium. RNAcentral's name for it is "partial 16S ribosomal RNA". It matches the Rfam family "Bacterial small subunit ribosomal RNA", at positions 333 to 636 of the family's 1533-position model. The record is from RNAcentral.
UGUAUCCUACGGGGGGCAGCAGUGGGGAAUAUUGGGCAAUGGGCGCAAGCCUGACCCAGCAACGCCGCGUGAAGGAAGAAGGCUUUCGGGUUGUAAACUUCUUUUCUCAGGGACGAAGCAAGUGACGGUACCUGAGGAAUAAGCCACGGCUAACUACGUGCCAGCAGCCGCGGUAAUACGUAGGUGGCAAGCGUUAGCCGGAUUUACUGGGUGUAAAGGGCGUGUAGGCGGGACUGCAAGUCAGAUGUGAAAACCACGGGCUCAACCUGUGGCGUGCAUUUGAAACUGU